Molecule: non-coding RNA, 28 nt
Filed under: Bombyx mori (domestic silkworm)
Lineage: Eukaryota; Metazoa; Arthropoda; Insecta; Lepidoptera; Bombycidae
Source: RNAcentral
UCACUAGUAGGGCGAAAAAUUGGGUGAU